UGGGCAACCUGCCCUCAGCUCUGGGAUAACUCCAGGAAAUUGGGGCUAAUACCGGAUAUGACUGCUGACCGCAUGGUCUGGUGGUGGAAAGAUUUAUCGGCUGGGGGAUGGGCCCGCGGCCUAUCAGCUUGUUGGUGGGGUAGUGGCCUACCAAGGCGACGACGGGUAGCCGGCCUGAGGAGGGUGACCGGCCACACUGGGACUGAGACACGGCCCAGACUCCGACGGGA
This 230-nucleotide ribosomal RNA is filed under the name uncultured bacterium. RNAcentral's name for it is "partial 16S ribosomal RNA". It matches the Rfam family "Bacterial small subunit ribosomal RNA", at positions 118 to 346 of the family's 1533-position model. The record is from RNAcentral.